GAGUUUGAUCCUGGCUCAGGAUGAACGCUGGCGGCGUGCCUAAUACAUGCAAGUCGAGCGAACAGACGAGGAGCUUGCUCCUCUGACGUUAGCGGCGGACGGGUGAGUAACACGUGGAUAACCUACCUAUAAGACUGGGAUAACUUCGGGAAACCGGAGCUAAUACCGAAUAAUAUAUUGAACCGCAUGGUUCAAUAGUGAAAAACGGUUUUGCUGUCACUUAUAGAUGGAUCCGCGCCGCAUUAGCUAGUUGGUAGGGUAACGGCUUACCAAGGCGACGAUGCGUAGCCGACCUGAGAGGGUGAUCGGCCACACUGGAACUGAGACACGGUCCAGACUCCUACGGGAGGCAGCAGUAGGGAAUCUUCCGCAAUGGGCGAAAGCCUGACGGAGCAACGCCGCGUGAGUGAUGAAGGUCUUCGGAUCGUAAAGCUCUGUUAUUAGGGAAGAACAAAUGUGUAAGUAACUAUGCACGUCUUGACGGUACCUAAUCAGAAAGCCACGGCUAACUACGUGCCAG
This 520-nucleotide ribosomal RNA is filed under the name uncultured microorganism. Its description in RNAcentral is "bacterial SSU rRNA". It matches the Rfam family "Bacterial small subunit ribosomal RNA", at positions 9 to 511 of the family's 1533-position model. The record is from RNAcentral.